RNAcentral lists this ribosomal RNA (570 nucleotides) under Shewanella sp. Its description in RNAcentral is "bacterial SSU rRNA". It matches the Rfam family "Bacterial small subunit ribosomal RNA", at positions 362 to 924 of the family's 1533-position model. Lineage: Bacteria; Pseudomonadati; Pseudomonadota; Gammaproteobacteria; Alteromonadales; Shewanellaceae. The record is from RNAcentral.
UAUUGCACAAUGGGGGAAACCCUGAUGCAGCCAUGCCGCGUGUGUGAAGAAGGCCUUCGGGUUGUAAAGCACUUUCAGUAGGGAGGAAAGGUAGCAGCUUAAUACGCUGUUGCUGUGACGUUACCUACAGAAGAAGGACCGGCUAACUCCGUGCCAGCAGCCGCGGUAAUACGGAGGGUCCGAGCGUUAAUCGGAAUUACUGGGCGUAAAGCGUGCGCAGGCGGUUUGUUAAGCGAGAUGUGAAAGCCCCGGGCUCAACCUGGGAAUUGCAUUUCGAACUGGCGAACUAGAGUCUUGUAGAGGGGGGUAGAAUUCCAGGUGUAGCGGUGAAAUGCGUAGAGAUCUGGAGGAAUACCGGUGGCGAAGGCGGCCCCCUGGACAAAGACUGACGCUCAGGCACGAAAGCGUGGGGAGCAAACAGGAUUAGAUACCCUGGUAGUCCACGCCGUAAACGAUGUCUACUCGGAGUUUGGUGUCUUGAACACUGGGCUCUCAAGCUAACGCAUUAAGUAGACCGCCUGGGGAGUACGGCCGCAAGGUUAAAACUCAAAUGAAUUGACGGGGCAGCCU